This is a long non-coding RNA of Bubalus bubalis (water buffalo), 1912 nucleotides long. RefSeq lists it as uncharacterized. The record is from RefSeq and is a predicted model, not a curated record. Lineage: Eukaryota; Metazoa; Chordata; Mammalia; Artiodactyla; Bovidae. The transcript has 4 exons.
CUGGCUUGUAUCCCAGCCCCGGCGGCCUGUGACUGAUGUAGGGCGGACAGAACCUAAGGAUAGGAAAAGAGAAAUGGAUAUGUGUUGAGCAUAUAUUCUUGCCAGGCAGUCUACCUAGCCACUUCACCCAGCCUGACCAUUCAUUUCAUCAGUCAACAAACAUCCGCUGAGCUGCUUCCACGUGCCAGGCACUUGGGAUGCAAAGGCACAGCAGCUAAGUUUUCUGCCCCCAAGGGUCUCACAGUCUGAAGAGGGAGACAGACAAGGGGGCUUCCAGUUUCCAUGUGGGGUGGAGACGGUGGGACCAGAGGGCAAUUUACUGUGAUGCUUCAGGACUCCUCAUUUGUGUGUGUCACUUCUAAAUAUUCACUCUUACACCUGUCUUUGUAAUUUGUAUUACUUUUCUUAAAGAGCAUUCUCAAAAUAUAUAAGCUUUGGAACUCAGUCCACCUGGAUUCAGCCCUUAGCACAACACAGCAAACCCCGUAGACAUGCACGUACAAUAUCUAUAUCUGCCCAGAAGGCUUCUAGAAGGUCGCCCUUGAAAUGAGACUUAAGCACAAGAAGUACACAGUGAAGUGGAGGGCGGGGGAUGGGAUGGGCCUAGAGAACAGGACCUAGGAAAGCGGUGGUGAGGGAGUCAAAAUAGCUCAAUUUAUCCAGGAUGAUGCAGGCUUGUGGGGAACGGUGUGUUGGCUAUGGGGGCAGCUGAUAGACAGUGGGGUGCUGGUGAGGGAGGGCAGGAGAGACUGUAAGGCCAGUGUGGGAAGGACUCCCAUCCAGGAUUUUAUAGAACUUUAACUCUGAUUUUUCAUGCUAGAAGGAACAACUGAAGGAUUUUUUGGAUCCAUUUUUUAGCAUUAGAUUUUAGAAUCAUCCAUCUGAUAUCAAGACGCAGGAUGACCUGGAGGCAGAGUGAGCAGCUGUUACCUAGGACUGUCCUGGUUUUAGCACCGAAGGUUCUCUGUCCUGGAACACCCCUCAGCCCCAGGGAAACCAGGACAGUGAACCACCUGACCUGGAAGAGGGUGGGCCCAAAGCCAGGAGAAACACUAAGGUGUGCUCAGCAAAUAUGCCUCCCAUUACCCACCUGACAGCUCCACUUUGAUGUCUAAAUGGCAUCAUUAAAUCAAUGUGCUCAAAACCUCAGAGUGUUUCACUUGCUGUUCCCCAGGAUAACCACACGGUUCACUCCUUCACCUCCCUCUGAUGUUUAUUCUGAUCUUACCUUCUCAGCAAGGCCUCCCCCCAAAUCCUCUUUUAUUAUUGCAGUCCCUAUGCUUGACAUUCCCUAUCCUUGUUUUGGUUUUGUUCAUAGUGCUCCACCACCACCCAAUGAGCCCAACAUAUUGAAUAUUUACAUUUUUUAUGGUCAGUUUUUUUCCCACUAUCAAAAUCUUUCAUGAAGGCGGGAAUUUUGUUUGUUGUAUUCAUUGUCCAGGACAGUGUCUGGCAUGUAGGACAGGUUCUUUGACUAAGUAAAUUGAGUCUCCCUUGAUUCAUCCCUACUCUCUCAGGCCCUGCAUCCAGUUCAUCUGCAAAUUCUGGUGACUGUCUGUUCAUGGUAUUUCCAGAAUAUGAGUUCUUAGCACCUCCACCACGCCUACCCAGGUCCAGGCCACGUCAUCGCUCACGUGGAUUGUUGCAAGAGCCUCCCUCCACAGGCUUCCCGUAUCCAACCUUGCUUCUGAACAGCCUGUUCUCUGUUCUCAAAUCAGCAGCCAGGGGAUCCUGCUGAAAUGAGAGAAGAAUGCCACCAUGCCCUGUCUGCCAUCUACCGCACAUAAUGGGAUGUUGCUCCAGGACCUUACUUCAGACAUGAACUACCUGCUCAUAUCUUUUACUAUCUGCUGCUGCUGCUGCUGCUGCUGCUGCUGCUAAGUCGCUUCAGUCGUGUCCGACUCUGUGCGAC